Molecule: long non-coding RNA, 1367 nt
Organism: Homo sapiens (human)
Lineage: Eukaryota; Metazoa; Chordata; Mammalia; Primates; Hominidae
Source: Ensembl
UGGCAUCAGUCCUCUGUGGGCAAAGGCUGAAGAUGACAGGCAUGUGAGAAUAUAGGCAGACACACUCCCUGCCAUGUGCAGAAAGCCAGUCUGCAGUGAGAGCAAAGAUGAGAGGUGGAGAAACAGGCCUGGUGGCGUCUGAGACACUGCUUCUAGUUGUUCUGAGGCUUGGCUGCCCCUUGCCUUUCCCAUGCAUGGUUUGGUUCUUAAACAGUUUGUUGUAUUUCCGGAACCAUCAAGUGUCCCUUUUUGUGUAAGGUUGUCCAAGUUGGCUUUGAACAUUUGCAACCAAAAGAGGUCUGACUCAUUUAGAAAUCCUGGGCAAAUCGCCCUCGCAGUUCCUCCAUUUCCUGAUUUAUAAAAUGAUGCGGAAACCAUCAUGAGGGAGUGGAUAAGGGGACUGUGAACUGUUCGCUGGAGUUAAGGCCUCCAGCCCCAUCCCAAAGCCAGCACUGCUUGAGCCUCAGAGGAGAGAUCCAUGUAGCCACCACUGAGAACUUCAGACCAGAAGAGACAAGCAGAGAUACUGCAACGCACUCAUCCAGAGCAGAGGAACCCUAUUUUGAGUUUACCUAUAGGACCUUAUAACAGGCAAACAUAUGAUGUCUUCAUAGUAUUAGAAAUAAUGAAAUGAAGGACUAUAUCAGUGACCUCCUGAAAGGUUAACUGGAAAUCUCAGGAUUAAUCUUUCUCAUUUUCUGUUAAAAUGCAAAUCCCCGGGUUGGAAUAAUGAUUGAACAUUGUUUGUUAGUUACACCUUAAUGAAUGGGGUUAUUAGGGUUUAAGAGAAUGAGGUCAUUGGGGUUUAUUAAACCAUCAAGGGAGAGAACUAAGAGGGGACCCUGAGAUGCCCAGUAAGGCAAAUAUUUGGAGAUAAGUUUCAUUUCACCCCUACUUGGCCUCCACAAGGCCUGCACACUUAAAUAUUGGUUUGAGAGAAUUCUGAAGUCAGAGUGGCAGACCAUGCUGGUCACACCCAAUGGCCCGAUCCUGCUACAGGAACACAAUUUCACUCAUGAGUGGGACACCCCCUGACUCUGGCUACAGGGGAAGAGCACGGUUCCAUGCCAUUUCCCUUUGCCAGUGAUUGUUUCGGUGAUGAAUGUGUAAGCCAUUUCUGGCCAAUGGGAUAUAAGGGCGUUUAAUCUCACCCCUCUCUUGUAAGGAGAGGAGGAACUUCCUUCUUCACUCCAGCCUGCCUCCACACAUGGUUCUGUGAAGAUGUAACAUUUGGUUUGUGACAGCCAUCUUGUGACCACAAAGAAAAACCGCAAUAAGCCUUGGCAUCACCACGGGGCUGAAUUAACCCACCCAGGGGCCCCUGACCUCUAGACUUCUCGUUAUGAGAAAUGAUAAAUCCUAUUAUU